Ictidomys tridecemlineatus (thirteen-lined ground squirrel) is the source of this 72-nucleotide non-coding RNA. The record is from Rfam. NCBI's taxonomy places the organism in Eukaryota, Metazoa, Chordata, Mammalia, Rodentia, Sciuridae.
UGAGUUGUGGCUCAGUGGUAGAGUUCUUGCCUGGCAUGUGUGAGGCCCUGGGUUUGAUCCUCAGCACUGCAU